This 589-nucleotide long non-coding RNA is filed under the name Homo sapiens (human). RNAcentral's name for it is "HSALNT0286810". The record is from RNAcentral. Lineage: Eukaryota; Metazoa; Chordata; Mammalia; Primates; Hominidae.
GCAGAAGAGGAAAAAAAGGCUUCAAGAAAUGCACUGACAUUCCCAUAGUCAUGCAGCUGGAUCAAGCAAAGGAUCCACAAGAUGCUGCUGCUGCUUUGUGGCUGCAGGAUUCUGGUCUCAGGAAAACCCUCCAUUCAUUUUUUGCAUCAAUGUAGAAACUGAGGACCACAGGAUGAAGUUCGUUCUGAAAGAAAAUAUGGAGUUUUAACUAAAGACAGACAAGAAAUGUGAAGAGGCAAUCCAUGCAACAGAAAAUAAGAAAGAAAGAAUUUUGGUGACUUGGUAUAAUUAAUGAAAUCACAUUGAAGAUUGAAUUUUUCCAUAAUACCCUGUCAAUGAAAGGCCAAUCUAAACUUUUCUACAGGAGAUAGCAUGGGCUAUGAAUACAUGUUCUCGGCUUCCCCUAUUAGCCAACACUAAUAUCCCAUGGCUAAAAACAGUGACAGGCCUUAGAGUUACUCUAAGAAAAACUCUGGAAGCCAAGUAUAUGUGUGCAAGUUGUUAAGUAAGGAGGGGAAAGGCCCUUACAUCCUUACAGUCGAGAGACUGAUAUCUGGGAAUUGCAUCCUGCUUUUGCUACUGACUAGCA